CUUUUGUCACCAUCACAACAAUUUAACAACCAAAAAGAAAAGAAAAUAAAACAUGGGGGAGAGAAAUACAAACAUAAAGGGAGGUUUAAAUAAAAAAUACAUCAUCACCUGAGUACAAACAAAGUUCUACAAUUAAAAAAUAAGAGAUGAACAUGGAUUUAUAUACACAUAAGAUACCUUCGUAAUAAAAGAUUUUUUAAAGUGAUAUUAAAAAUAAAUCCGUGAACCUUUA
Molecule: long non-coding RNA, 232 nt
Filed under: Vigna radiata
Lineage: Eukaryota; Viridiplantae; Streptophyta; Magnoliopsida; Fabales; Fabaceae
Description: long non-coding RNA (VRAD_LNC004150)
Source: RNAcentral